UGUAGAAGCUCAAGCUGCUAAUUGCUGAUGUGACUGCCAGUUGAAACAGUUUGUCUACGUGUUGUGAGCUGGGCAAAACUCAUGCAUGAAAAGGAGGAGGAAAGCAAGUGGGGUGAGAUGACACCGUAAGGCAAAGCAAUCACCAUGUACCUGUGUUAAUGAGGUUUCUUGUGUGAUUAUCACCUCACUGCACUUAUUUUUCUUCAUCUGACCAAGUUUUGUUGGACUUCUACCACAGAUUUUCCAGUGUGACAUGAUGUGAAUCACCUAACCUGUACUCUAUAUCAUUUUAAAAGGAUUAGUAAUAGUGUAUCUCUCACUUCCCUGUCCCACUCCCCCCCUUUUCAGUUUUCUGGAUGUGCUUUGGUAGAAAAAGGCAUUAUGCUCUCUGAAGUUACUGCUGCAAUGCAAAUGAUUGAAACAUUAAAAUGACUUGGAGUAUUUGAAGGGCACUCAAUUGGUCAUUUAAUGUUUCCAUUUGUUUUCACAUUUUCAUUUGUGUUCAUGUGGCACUAUCAAAAACAACAGUUCAGAAAGAAGAAUUAACAGGAUUUAAAAAACUGAAGUACAUUGAAAAAAAUAAAGCAGGUAAAUUAUCUUAAGUGUAGGGACUGGAAUGAAAUAAUGCAUUCCACUUUUUCAUAGAAUCAAUUGCACUACAGGGGUUAGAAUCAUAGAAUCAUUUUCUUCUUAACUAAUCUUUGUGCUGCAAGUAAUUGUCCUUUGAAAGGAAUUCUGUUAGAUUACCUUAGUUUGAUAGUGCUGAAACGGAACAAGUGUCCUUUAAACAUGAAUAUUGUCCAGAUUUCAGCUACGAUGAGCACUUUGUCUGCAAGGGUUAUUCACGUGAAGCAAAACACAGGGCGUGUGCUUUCUAAAGACUUCUGUAAAUCAACAAAGCUAUAGAUAGCACAGCCUGAUGCAGUUACCAGCUGAUAUUCCUGCAAAGACACUCCAAAUGAGAGAGGAAAUUCCAAACUUCCUUAUUAUUCCUACAUGCUGAGUUUGCUAGUCAAUAAAAGUUUGUCAAGUUUUAUCUAGCA
This is a long non-coding RNA of Pogoniulus pusillus (Red-fronted tinkerbird), 1043 nucleotides long. RefSeq lists it as uncharacterized. The transcript has 2 exons. Lineage: Eukaryota; Metazoa; Chordata; Aves; Piciformes; Lybiidae. The record is from RefSeq and is a predicted model, not a curated record.